RNAcentral lists this ribosomal RNA (466 nucleotides) under uncultured bacterium. RNAcentral's name for it is "partial 16S ribosomal RNA". It matches the Rfam family "Bacterial small subunit ribosomal RNA", at positions 28 to 507 of the family's 1533-position model. The record is from RNAcentral.
GACGAACGCUGGCGGCGUGCUUAACACAUGCAAGUCGAACGGAAAGGCCCUGCUUGCCGGGUACUCGAGCGGCGAACGGGUGAGUAACACGUGGGUGAUCUGCCCUGCACUUCGGGAUAAGCUUGGGAAACUGGGUCUAAUACCGGAUAGGAGCCAUCUUUAGUGUGGUGGUUGGAAAGUUUUUUCGGUGUAGGAUGAGCUCGCGGCCUAUCAGCUUGUUGGUGGGGUAAUGGCCUACCAAGGCGGCGACGGGUAGCCGGCCUGAGAGGGUGUACGGCCACAUUGGGACUGAGAUACGGCCCAGACUCCUACGGGAGGCAGCAGUGGGGAAUAUUGCACAAUGGGCGCAAGCCUGAUGCAGCGACGCCGCGUGGGGGAUGAAGGCCUUCGGGUUGUAAACUCCUUUCGCUAGGGACGAAGCUUUUUUGUGACGGUACCUAGAUAAGAAGCACCGGCUAACUACGUG